Schistosoma mansoni is the source of this 45-nucleotide non-coding RNA. NCBI's taxonomy places the organism in Eukaryota, Metazoa, Platyhelminthes, Trematoda, Strigeidida, Schistosomatidae. The record is from Rfam.
AUCCAGAUGAUGAGUCCCAAAGAGGACGAAAAGUGCAUCCUGGAU